Molecule: long non-coding RNA, 704 nt
Organism: Eupeodes corollae
Lineage: Eukaryota; Metazoa; Arthropoda; Insecta; Diptera; Syrphidae
Exons: 3
Source: RefSeq, a predicted model, not a curated record
CAUGAUCUGAUCAGGAUCAUGGAUUUACAUGCACUACAACAACAAAACGAGAUCCUGCUUUAUGUUUGGAUCUCAUUUUGUGAUCCAAAAAUUAGUUCUCUAUUUCACACAAGGGGUAAAUUUCACAUUGCAAAUGUUGGUACUACUGCCAACAAAUUAAAAUAAAAAUUGUGUUGCCAUUGUAUCAUUUUUAUAUACCCGAAAUGAAAUAUUUCUUAAAUCGAUAGCGAGAAACGACAUAUUUAUUUAAUUUUAUUAUAAUCCUUAAAAUAAUGACAAAUUUUAACAAAACCAAGCGUAAAUUGGUGAAAUUAAAAUAAAUAAAUGCUAAAAAAAAGUAUAUUGUACAAAAAGCAUAUGUUUUAUUUUUCUCUAAAAAAAGAACAAAAAAGUAACCAUUGAACGAAAUGUUCAUAAGGCAACUCUGCCUUAAACGUCAAAAAAGUAAUUAAAUUCGUGUAUUCUGUUGCAAAAAUGGAAGCCAAUUCUAAUAAAUUAACAAGAAGAACAUGGACAGCAGAAGAAACCAAAGCGUUUCUGGAUGCGUACAGCAAGAGGCAAUUUGAGUUUGAAAGUGCCAAGCUCAAAAAAUUUGCCAUGCAGAACGUUUUGGAAGACCUAAUUGCACUGGGAGUUUUGACACAGCCAACAACUCUAGAAAUGUUGAAAAUUAAACUAAAAAAUCUAUUGAGGUCCUUUAAGAC